GUCAGUUUGUCCGAGUGGUUAAGGAGUUUGACUCGAAAUCAAAUGCUCUCUGAGCGCACAGGUUCGAGUCCUGUAGCUGACG
Molecule: transfer RNA, 82 nt
Filed under: Kocuria palustris
Lineage: Bacteria; Bacillati; Actinomycetota; Actinomycetes; Micrococcales; Micrococcaceae
Description: tRNA-Ser
Rfam family: tRNA
About the family: Transfer RNA (tRNA) molecules are approximately 80 nucleotides in length. Their secondary structure includes four short double-helical elements and three loops (D, anti-codon, and T loops). Further hydrogen bonds mediate the characteristic L-shaped molecular structure. tRNAs have two regions of fundamental functional importance: the anti-codon, which is responsible for specific mRNA codon recognition, and the 3' end, to which the tRNAs corresponding amino acid is attached (by aminoacyl-tRNA synthetases). tRNAs cope with the degeneracy of the genetic code in two manners: having more than one tRNA (with a specific anti-codon) for a particular amino acid; and 'wobble' base-pairing, i.e. permitting non-standard base-pairing at the 3rd anti-codon position.
Source: RNAcentral